UACGUAGGGUGCAAGCGUUGUCCGGAAUCAUUGGGCGUAAAGCGCGCGUAGGUGGCCAUUUAAGUCCGCUGUGAAAGUCAAAGGCUCAACCUUUGAAAGCCGGUGGAUACUGGAUGGCUAGAGUACGGAAGAGGCGAGUGGAAUUCCUGGUGUAGCGGUGAAAUGCGCAGAUAUCAGGAGGAACACCAAUGGCGAAGGCAGCUCGCUGGGACGGUACUGACGCUGAGGCGCGAAAGCGUGGGGAGCAAACAGG
RNAcentral lists this ribosomal RNA (253 nucleotides) under uncultured bacterium. Its description in RNAcentral is "partial 16S ribosomal RNA". It matches the Rfam family "Bacterial small subunit ribosomal RNA", at positions 524 to 776 of the family's 1533-position model. The record is from RNAcentral.